Molecule: unclassified non-coding RNA, 227 nt
Filed under: Hevea brasiliensis (rubber tree)
Lineage: Eukaryota; Viridiplantae; Streptophyta; Magnoliopsida; Malpighiales; Euphorbiaceae
Source: RNAcentral
AGAAGAUGCAACGUCGAUGCCAAGCAAUCUUGCAAGCACAUAACCGAAGAAGAAUCCUGACGCGUGAAGAAGAGAUGCAGCCAACACUACUUGCUGACCAGACAUCAGAAUAGCAGAGGAGUUCUGAGCAAUUGCAUUUCCACAUAAAAUAGCUACAGUACCAACAGCAAUAGGGGGCAUCAAUGGAGAGACAAAUCUAACCAAGCCAUGGAAAUACUGGUUUAAAA